Molecule: ribosomal RNA, 467 nt
Filed under: uncultured Alphaproteobacteria bacterium
Lineage: Bacteria; Pseudomonadati; Pseudomonadota; Alphaproteobacteria
Description: bacterial SSU rRNA
Rfam family: Bacterial small subunit ribosomal RNA
Source: RNAcentral
GAGUUUGAUCGUGGCUCAGAACGAACGCUGGCGGCAUGCCUAACACAUGCAAGUCGAACGAAGCCUUCGGGCUUAGUGGCGCACGGGUGCGUAACGCGUGGGAAUCUGCCCUUGGGUUCGGAAUAACAGUUAGAAAUGACUGCUAAUACCGGAUGAUGACUUCGGUCCAAAGAUUUAUCGCCCAAGGAUGAGCCCGCGUAGGAUUAGCUAGUUGGUGGGGUAAUGGCCCACCAAGGCGACGAUCCUUAGCUGGUCUGAGAGGAUGAUCAGCCACACUGGGACUGAGACACGGCCCAGACUCCUACGGGAGGCAGCAGUGGGGAAUAUUGGACAAUGGGCGAAAGCCUGAUCCAGCAAUGCCGCGUGAGUGAUGAAGGCCUUAGGGUUGUAAAGCUCUUUUACCAGGGAUGAUAAUGACAGUACCUGGAGAUAAGCUCCGGCUAACUCCGUGCCAGCCGCCGCCGUAA